Molecule: transfer RNA, 69 nt
Filed under: Homo sapiens (human)
Lineage: Eukaryota; Metazoa; Chordata; Mammalia; Primates; Hominidae
Description: tRNA-Arg-CCT-9-1
Source: RNAcentral
GCAUUCGUAGUUCAGCGGCAGAAAUUUCGUCUCCUACGCGGGAGACUCGGGUUCGACUUCGGCCAUGCA